UAAGGGACGGCUUCCGUCGUCGACUGUGUCUGCUGAAGUCCCCCCUCCCCUUCCUCCCUCUGCCGUUGUCGCGGACCAAUUCUGCGGCGGGGUGCUUGUCCCCGAGAAAAGCUCCAUCCACACCUCGUCCGUCACAUGUCGAUUGAUCCUGUGCUCCUUCUUGCAGCCGGGGUUCCAGUUGCAGCGCAGAUUAACAUAUCCGCUGUGCUGGACGUAGGCGAUCCGGAGCGUGCGCAUGGCGAUGACGUUGUCGUGUAGCGGCGCAUCGACGUGCCAUGCCUGUAAGAAGCCAGAGCGAUGCGCGUGGAGGAAGCCGAUGGUGCGGGGAAGGUUAUCGUAGUUGUCGAUGAUGUAGGAGAGGUACGCCAUGGAUUCGCGACCUUUGUUUCUUGGGACCGUGAGGGCAUUAGGAUCGUUGAGCGUCUUCUGAGAGGGGUUUACGACAUAUAUCGCUCGUUGCCAGCUGUUUGUUUUGUCCGUCGACGGGGGUGGUAUAUGGGUUAGCUGUGGUAUAUUGGAUUGUUCAUGGUUUGGGAUCGAUUGAAGGCUUUUCCAGUCAAUAGUGAAAGGAGGGGAGUGACAUACUCUGGAAGCUCAUCCUGUACCCAAUCGGUAUCCUCCUCCUCCAGCUUUGCCAUGACAAUGAUUUUAUCACCCACCUCGACAUUGAAGGGGUUUGUUGCGUCACUGGGCAAAUCGAGGGAUAAAGAAUGGAAACGCGUGAUAAUGGAAUCAAUCAAGUAUAAACCCCCGCUAUAUUGAUCUAGGAUAUCUGCCAACACACGCACGAGAAACAACAGGGCAAUGACGAGAAUGAAACAAUAUAGCCUGACAGCGAUACGGAAGUUGCAUUUCAUUGUUCGAAAUGAGAGGUCCAGGGGCGAAGUUGGCGCUGGGUCAAUUUUCGUGAUAUGCGCGACAGGAAAUAUUGCGCAGGGAAACACGGCCCUAAGACGUUCGUCACAGGAGAAUGCGCGCCCAUUUGUCGUCGCGAGCAGCUGCGUACAUAUUGUAGAAAGGGAAUAGAUACAAAAAUAGUUAUAUAGGCAGGUCGGGUUACGCGCGUUCAAACCCAACCCUCACAAUAACCACUAGUUAUAUGUGGAGGCGCAGUCACUCAGCCAUCAAAACCACUGAUAUAACCAGGUUAUUGCUGACAUGUGUUCAAUUUCAUGUUCAUAUGUACGGAGGUUCAUGUCAGAAGUUCUUGCCCACCAAGGCGCUAUAUAAUGCCACCAAUUUGAAUAUGUUCAAAUCUGCAGAUGAUAUUUUUGUUUCUCAUUAAAUUGUUUAUCAAGAUGGCUUCUAAUACUGAUAUUGCAACACAUUCUCUAGUGAUUACUCUUAAAUCUAUUGCUCAAAAGACCUUCCUUGAAAUAUCUGGCAGUAGUGACCUAGACUGGCUGUGUGACCAUGCAUGGGACUAGGACUAAAUUUUUCCUUAGUCCCAUUCUCAAAUAUCCUAGUCCUGGUCCCAUAUAGUGUUGAGUAAAUUAGUCACUUUACACUGUUUAUAUUAUAAAUCUAGUCCCAGAUCAUGUUUUACUUAUAAAUUAAUGAUUCUGGUCCCAUUUUGUAAAAACGGGACCAUGAUUUACCCUAUAUAGAUCGGCAGCGAUAGAUAGAUUGGCAGCGAUAGAUAGGUUGACAACAGUAGAUAGAUUGGCAGUGGUAGGUAGGUUGGCAGCAGUAGGGGAUAUUUAUUCUAAUAGUGAGCUUAGGGGCAUUGAGCAGGU
RNAcentral lists this small RNA (1736 nucleotides) under Histoplasma capsulatum. Its description in RNAcentral is "hypothetical RNA". Lineage: Eukaryota; Fungi; Ascomycota; Eurotiomycetes; Onygenales; Ajellomycetaceae. RNAcentral also lists the same sequence under 1 other name. The record is from RNAcentral.